CGCCCAGGACGAAGCUGCCUUUGUCCCCGGAGGAGGGACUAAAGCAGAGGCAGUCGCGGCGAGUACGAACGGAAACGAUAAGCCUCCCCACUGCUCCGACUUUCCUUUCCCACCGUCCCUCAGGAAAUGCCGCGGAGGCUAAGGAGACCGGAUACCCAUCUGGAGAUACCCAGGAUUGAACUUGGGGCCUUCUGCCUGGAGGCCAUGCUUUGUCAUUUAAGCUAUGAUCUUUCCCUACAGCUACAUUCUCCAUCAAUGCAGUUCCCAUGAAUAAGAGGCUUGUAAUAUUUUUUGCUCAGAACUGGGUCUCUUGCAAUGUUAAUUUAAAAAAUGGGCAUUGGUGGGUUAUUGCUUCCUGUCUAAACAUGACUCGGAGGUAUGGAAGUUCCUGAUUAAUGACAAGUUAAUUGAAUCUUGAAUAUCAACUUCUGUUUGGGGAGUAUGAGUUCAAAUUGCUUUCCAUUUCUUAUUUUCAUUUUUAUAUGCAGUAUGUAAUUCCAAAGUAGAUAGCCUAUUGGGACCCUCACCAUAAUUAUCUCUGGCAUAUCUUGACUGUGCUGCCAACUGUUUAUGUUCCCCAAGUUGAUAACUGACUUCAAACACUCAUUCAGAACUA
Long non-coding RNA from Varanus komodoensis (Komodo dragon), 616 nucleotides. RefSeq lists it as uncharacterized. The transcript is spliced from 2 exons. The record is from RefSeq and is a predicted model, not a curated record. Lineage: Eukaryota; Metazoa; Chordata; Lepidosauria; Squamata; Varanidae.